CAUCAAAAACCAAGUCUCUAAGCAAUGGAUGUCUUGGCUCCUCACACGAUGAAGAACGUGGCAUAAUGUGUUAAGUAACCGGAGUUGCAAACAUCAUGACAGGUUAAUCUUUGAAUGCAAAUUGCGCUAAACUCGAUCUCGGUCGAGAAGCAUGGGUGUGACAGUACUACAUCUUUUAUAAUAAUUCUUAUUCUAAGCGAAUAAGUAAAUAAUAUAUAAGACAAACAACACGUAGUCUGCCAUACGCAGGAAGACCCGCUGAACUGAAGCAUCUCAUUAAGCGGAGGAAAAGAAACUAACUAGGAUUCCCUUAGUAAAGGCGAUCGAAAAGGGAACAGCCCAACGUCUUAAUCCCGCAAGGGAAAUGUAGUCGGUUCACCUAUUGCACUG
This 390-nucleotide non-coding RNA is filed under the name Trichomonas vaginalis G3. RNAcentral describes it as "Archaeal large subunit ribosomal RNA". It matches the Rfam family "Archaeal large subunit ribosomal RNA", at positions 1 to 306 of the family's 2987-position model. The record is from Rfam by way of RNAcentral. Lineage: Eukaryota; Parabasalia; Trichomonadida; Trichomonadidae.